CACUUCAACAGGAAAGUAUUAUACUAAAAUUGGAAUGAUACAGAGAAGAUUAGCAUGGCCCCUGUGCAUGGAUGACAUGCAAAUUCAUGAAGCAUUCCAUAUUUAG
This is a small nuclear RNA of Sciurus vulgaris (Eurasian red squirrel), 106 nucleotides long. NCBI's taxonomy places the organism in Eukaryota, Metazoa, Chordata, Mammalia, Rodentia, Sciuridae. The record is from Ensembl.